UCCUCGGUAGCUCAGUUGGUAGAGCAAUCGACUGUUAAUCGAUGGGUCACAGGUUCGAGUCCUGUCCGGGGAGCCA
Molecule: transfer RNA, 76 nt
Filed under: Clostridia bacterium
Lineage: Bacteria; Bacillati; Bacillota; Clostridia
Description: tRNA-Asn
Rfam family: tRNA
About the family: Transfer RNA (tRNA) molecules are approximately 80 nucleotides in length. Their secondary structure includes four short double-helical elements and three loops (D, anti-codon, and T loops). Further hydrogen bonds mediate the characteristic L-shaped molecular structure. tRNAs have two regions of fundamental functional importance: the anti-codon, which is responsible for specific mRNA codon recognition, and the 3' end, to which the tRNAs corresponding amino acid is attached (by aminoacyl-tRNA synthetases). tRNAs cope with the degeneracy of the genetic code in two manners: having more than one tRNA (with a specific anti-codon) for a particular amino acid; and 'wobble' base-pairing, i.e. permitting non-standard base-pairing at the 3rd anti-codon position.
Source: RNAcentral